RNAcentral lists this long non-coding RNA (336 nucleotides) under Nicotiana benthamiana. RNAcentral describes it as "long non-coding RNA (NBEN_LNC034850)". Lineage: Eukaryota; Viridiplantae; Streptophyta; Magnoliopsida; Solanales; Solanaceae. The record is from RNAcentral.
CUCAUGAUACAUUAUUUGAGGCGUUUCAACAAAAUUCCACAUGUUUGCGACAUAAUUUUCCAUAGUUUUCUCAUCCGGAAACUCCCCCAGCACAAAACCUAUCAAAGCAUUACUCCAAUAAGCCUCCAGCUCCUUUGUAUCAUCAUCAUCAAUUUGCACUGGAAACUUUCCAUCUCUCAUAGCAGGAGGGAUGUAGCUUAGGGCAUUUCCUUUUUUAGGGCUUCUAUUCUUCUGCAUGAGGGCCUUUUUCUUUUCAACUUCCCCUGGGUCUGCUACAUCUUGUUGGAACUGAUUUGGUUUUGCAUGUGCUGAAAAUUGCAUUCGCCGGUGGACUUG